GACGAACGCUGGCGGCGUGCCUAAUACAUGCAAGUAGAACGCACAGUUUAUACCGUAGCUUGCUACACCAUAGACUGUGAGUUGCGAACGGGUGAGUAACGCGUAGGUAACCUGCCUGGUAGCGGGGGAUAACUAUUGGAAACGCUAGCUAAUACCGCAUACUAUUUAUUAUUGCAUGAUAAUUGAUUGAAAGAUGCUAUUGCAUCACUACCAGAUGGACUUGCGUUGUAUUAGCUAGUAGGUGAGGUAACGGCUCACCUAGGCGACGAUACAUAGCCGACCGGAGAGGGUGAUCGGCCACACUGGGACUGAGACACGGCCCAGACUCCUACGGGAGGCAGCAGUAGGGAAUCUUCGGCAAUGGACGAAAGUCUGACCGAGCAACGCCGCGGGAGUGAAGAAGGUUGUCGGAUCGUAAAGCUCGGUUGUAAGAGAAGAACGGGUGUGAGAGUGGAAAGUUCACACUGUGACGGUAUCUUACCAGAAAGGGACGGCUAACUACGUG
RNAcentral lists this ribosomal RNA (505 nucleotides) under uncultured bacterium. RNAcentral describes it as "partial 16S ribosomal RNA". It matches the Rfam family "Bacterial small subunit ribosomal RNA", at positions 28 to 507 of the family's 1533-position model. The record is from RNAcentral.